This 87-nucleotide transfer RNA is filed under the name Acidimicrobiales bacterium. RNAcentral describes it as "tRNA-Gly". Lineage: Bacteria; Bacillati; Actinomycetota; Acidimicrobiia; Acidimicrobiales. The record is from RNAcentral.
GGGCGUUCACCUGGUUGGGCGAGUCAGCGCACCCCUUCUGAUCAGCUUCCCAAGCUGAAUACGGGAGUUCGAUUCUCCUCACCCGCU